UACGGGAGGCAGCAGUGGGGAAUAUUGCACAAUGGGCGAAAGCCUGAUGCAGCUAUGCCGCGUGUAUGAAGAAGGCCUUAGGGUUGUAAAGUACUUUCAUCGGGGAGGAAAAAACAAAACUAAUAAUUUUAUUUCUUGACGUUACCCGAAAAAGAAGCACCGGCUAACUCCGUGCCAGCAGCCGCGGUAAUACGGAGGGUGCUAGCGUUAAUCAGAAUUACUGGGCGUAAAGAGCACGUAGGUGGUUUUUUUAAAGUCAGAUGUGAAAUCCCUGGGCUUAACCUAGGAACUGCAUUUUGAAACUGAAAUACUAGAGUAUCGUAGAGGGAGGUAGAAUUCUAGGUGUAGCGGUGAAAUGCGUAGAUAUCUGGAGGAAUACCUGUGGCGAAAGCGGCCUCCUAAACGAAUACUGACACUGAGGGUGCGAAAGCGUGGGGAGCAAACAGGGAUUAGAUACC
RNAcentral lists this ribosomal RNA (458 nucleotides) under uncultured bacterium. Its description in RNAcentral is "bacterial SSU rRNA". It matches the Rfam family "Bacterial small subunit ribosomal RNA", at positions 340 to 786 of the family's 1533-position model. The record is from RNAcentral.